RNAcentral lists this ribosomal RNA (433 nucleotides) under uncultured bacterium. RNAcentral describes it as "partial 16S ribosomal RNA". It matches the Rfam family "Bacterial small subunit ribosomal RNA", at positions 29 to 507 of the family's 1533-position model. The record is from RNAcentral.
AACGAACGCUGGCGGCAUGCCUAACACAUGCCAGUCGAACGAGACCUUCGGGUCUAGUGGCGCACGGGUGCGUAACGCGUGGGAACCUGCCCUUAGGUUCGGAAUAACUCCCCGAAGGGGGUGCUAAUACCGGAUAAUGUCUUCGGACCAAAGAUUUAUCGCCUUUGGAUGGGCCCGCGUUGGAUUAGCUAGUUGGUAGGGUAAAAGCCUACCAAGGCGACGAUCCAUAGCUGGUCUGAGAGGAUGAUCAGCCACACUGGGACUGAGACACGGCCCAGACUCCUACGGGAGGCAGCAGUGGGGAAUAUUGGACAAUGGGCGAAAGCCUGAUCCAGCAAUGCCGCGUGAGCGAUGAAGGCCUUAGGGUUGUAAAGCUCUUUUACCCGGGAUGAUAAUGACAGUACCGGGAGAAUAAGCUCCGGCUAACUCCGUG